UACGUAGGGUGCAAGCGCUAAUCGGAAUUACUGGGCGUAAAGCGUGCGCAGGCGGUUUUGUAAGUCUGUCGUGAAAUCCCCGGGCUUAACCUGGGAAUGGCGAUGGAGACUGCAAGGCUAGAGUUUGGCAGAGGGGGGGUAGAAUUCCACGUGUAGCAGUGAAAUGCGUAGAGAUGUGGAGGAACACCGAUGGCGAAGGCAGCCCCCCUGGGUCAAGACUGACGCUCAUGCACGAAAGCGUGGGGAGCAAACAGG
RNAcentral lists this ribosomal RNA (255 nucleotides) under uncultured bacterium. Its description in RNAcentral is "partial 16S ribosomal RNA". It matches the Rfam family "Bacterial small subunit ribosomal RNA", at positions 524 to 776 of the family's 1533-position model. The record is from RNAcentral.